Molecule: ribosomal RNA, 636 nt
Filed under: uncultured bacterium
Lineage: Bacteria
Description: bacterial SSU rRNA
Rfam family: Bacterial small subunit ribosomal RNA
Source: RNAcentral
UAAAGAAUUUCGGUCAUCGAUGGGGAUGCGUUCCAUUAGCUUGUUGGCGGGGUAACGGCCCACCAAGGCAUCGAUGGAUAGGGGUUCUGAGAGGAAGGUCCCCCACAUUGGAACUGAGACACGGUCCAAACUCCUACGGGAGGCAGCAGUGAGGAAUAUUGGUCAAUGGGCGCUAGCCUGAACCAGCCAAGUAGCGUGAAGGAUGACUGCCCUAUGGGUUGUAAACUUCUUUUAUAUGGGAAUAAAGUGCAGUAUGUAUACUGCUUUGUAUGUACCUUAUGAAUAGGGAUCGGCUAACUCCGUGCCAGCAGCCGCGGUAAUACGGAGGAUCCGAGCGUUAUCCGGAUUUAUUGGGUUUAAAGGGAGCGUAGGCGGGUUGUUAAGUCAGUUGUGAAAGUUUGCGGCUCAACCGUAAAAUUGCAGUUGAUACUGGCAUCCUUGAGUACAGUAGAGGUAGGCGGAAUUCGUGGUGUAGCGGUGAAAUGCUUAGAUAUCACGAAGAACUCCGAUUGCGAAGGCAGCCUGCUGGACUGUAACUGACGCUGAUGCUCGAAAGUGUGGGUAUCAAACAGGAUUAGAUACCCUGGUAGUCCACACAGUAAACGAUGAAUACUCGCUGUUUGCGAUAUACAGUAA